ACUUUAUACUGUGAAACUGCGAAUGGCUCAUUAAAUCAGUUAUCGUUUAUUUGAUAGUACCUUACUACAUGGAUACCUGUGGUAAUUCUAGAGCUAAUACAUGCUAAAAACCUCGACUUCGGAAGGGGUGUAUUUAUUAGAUAAAAAACCAAUGCCCUUCGGGGCUCCUUGGUGAAUCAUAAUAACUUAACGAAUCGCAUGGCCUUGCGCCGGCGAUGGUUCAUUCAAAUUUCUGCCCUAUCAACUUUCGAUGGUAGGAUAGUGGCCUACCAUGGUGGCAACGGGUAACGGGGAAUUAGGGUUCGAUUCCGGAGAGGGAGCCUGAGAAACGGCUACCACAUCCAAGGAAGGCAGCAGGCGCGCAAAUUACCCAAUCCCGACACGGGGAGGUAGUGACAAUAAAUACUGAUACGGGGCUCUUUUGGGUCUCGUAAUUGGAAUGAGUACAAUCUAAAUCCCUUAACGAGGAACAAUUGGAGGGCAAGUCUGGUGCCAGCAGCCGCGGUAAUUCCAGCUCCAAUAGCGUAUAUUAAAGUUGUUGCAGUUAAAAAGCUCGUAGUUGAACCUUGGGUCUGGCUGGCCGGUCCGCCUCACCGCGAGUACUGGUCCGGCUGGACCUUUCCUUCUGGGGAACCUCAUGGCCUUCACUGGCUGUGGGGGGAACCAGGACUUUUACUGUGAAAAAAUUAGAGUGUUCAAAGCAGGCCUUUGCUCGAAUACAUUAGCAUGGAAUAAUAGAAUAGGACGUGCGGUUCUAUUUGGUUGGUUUCUAGGACCGCCGUAAUGAUUAAUAGGGAUAGUCGGGGGCGUCAGUAUUCAGCUGUCAGAGGUGAAAUUCUUGGAUUUGCUGAAGACUAACUACUGCGAAAGCAUUCGCCAAGGAUGUUUUCAUUAAUCAGGGAACGAAAGUUAGGGGAUCGAAGACGAUCAGAUACCGUCGUAGUCUUAACCAUAAACUAUGCCGACUAGGGAUCGGGCGGUGUUUCUAUAAUGACCCGCUCGGCACCUUACGAGAAAUCAAAGUUUUUGGGU
RNAcentral lists this ribosomal RNA (1032 nucleotides) under Aspergillus proliferans. RNAcentral's name for it is "SSU rRNA". It matches the Rfam family "Eukaryotic small subunit ribosomal RNA", at positions 71 to 1112 of the family's 1831-position model. Lineage: Eukaryota; Fungi; Ascomycota; Eurotiomycetes; Eurotiales; Aspergillaceae. The record is from RNAcentral.